RNAcentral lists this ribosomal RNA (451 nucleotides) under uncultured bacterium. RNAcentral's name for it is "bacterial SSU rRNA". It matches the Rfam family "Bacterial small subunit ribosomal RNA", at positions 29 to 524 of the family's 1533-position model. The record is from RNAcentral.
AACGAACGCUGGCGGCAUGCCUAACACAUGCAAGUCGAACGAGACCUUCGGGUCUAGUGGCGCACGGGUGCGUAACGCGUGGGAACCUGCCUUUAGGUUCGGAAUAACUCAGAGAAAUUUGAGCUAAUACCGGAUGAUGUCUUCGGACCAAAGAUUUAUCGCCUUUAGAUGGGCCCGCGUAAGAUUAGCUAGUUGGUGGGGUAAAGGCCUACCAAGGCGACGAUCUUUAGCUGGUCUGAGAGGAUGAUCAGCCACACUGGGACUGAGACACGGCCCAGACUCCUACGGGAGGCAGCAGUGGGGAAUAUUGGACAAUGGGCGAAAGCCUGAUCCAGCAAUGCCGCGUGAGUGAUGAAGGCCUUAGGGUUGUAAAGCUCUUUUACCCGACGAUGAUAAUGACAGUAUCGGGAGAAUAAGCUCCGGCUAACUCCGUGCCAGCAGCCGCGGUAAU